AUGAGGUUGAAGAUGAAGUUGGUGGGUUAGUGAUGGGGCCAAAAGGGUUAGAGAAAAAAGAAGUUAGGGGCUCAGAUGUCAAAAGAUUUAUUUUUGGGCUGAUAGGGUUAAAGUGAAACAACCACAGGGGCCAAAAUCGUAAUUUACUCUAAUAUAAAUGUAGAAUGCUGAAACCAUUUGAUUGAAAGAUAUCUCCAUAAUCUUCUAAAUUAUAUAUUUGAUCUCAAGAAAAAAGGCAUUGACAUCUAUGAAGCUUUAUCUUGCUCAUAGUCACAAUUUCUGGUAAGCUACACAUUCAUUAUUGCUUAUAGAUCCUCUCCUCUAUGUUCUCAACUUUUAUCAAUAUGACUUCUAUCAUAUACGAAUAACACACUUUUAGUAACUUAUUACUUAUUGUUCAUUGAUCGAUAUACGCCUUAUGCAGUGGCGGAUCCAGUAUUAUAAUGGGUUCCUUUUGAUAAAUUCUUUUUAAUUCUCACUGUUUUUUUUUUUUUUCUAAAUUCUAUAAGGUUCUUCUCACUAAUUUUUUUCAUUUUUUCCAAACGCACUGGAUUCCUAGAAACCCACAAAUGUGGGCUAGAUCCGCCCUUGGCUUUAUGUUAAAUUAAGGGACACAGAUAGUGACCGGUGAAGCGUGUGAAAAAUCUUGGUCGUACUCUAAUAGUUUUUGUGACAGGACCAUUUGCGACAAUCAGGGCCAUCUCUGAAAAUUAAAAAAAAAAUUGGUCCUAUGCGAAAUAAAAAAUUUGAGCCAUAUUCGCAAAUCUCCAUGUUUUUAAAUAAUCAAAGUCUAAACAUUGGCAAAUUGGACCACAAACUCACAAAUCCAAAAUUCUGAAAAGCCCUAAAAACGUUUUUGGUUCAUAAAUUCAGUCCUGUUAAUAUUUUUUUUAAACACACACAUAUAUAUAUAUAUUUAAAAAAAAUCAGACCCUGUUUCGAUUUGGGUCCAGAAUGGCCGUCCACCUGGCACUUGCUAUUGGCUGGCCCUGGCGACAAUGAAUGCAAAGACAGAAAUCCAUGCAUGCUAAUUGAUAGUUGUGUAUGUACUUAUCCAUGUUAAAUUCUAGUAUUUUCAUACAAAGUUGAUAUAAUAAACUUUCGUCUAUGAAUUAAUAUAUUAUAUUAUUGAAUUGAGCAUAUGAAGAGAAAUACAUGCUUAUAAAGAGGAUAUAAAUACCGAGUCAAAAGGGCUCAGAAAAUCAUUUUAUAAGGGGUUUAUUUAUUUAACUGUAUUUUACUUUUUUUUGACAUUUUUUAGAGAUUUGGAAUGAACCAUGCAUUUAUACUUUUACUACUUAUUACUUAUUAGGUUCACUUCAUAAACUUAUUACAAACAAUAUCAGAUAGCUUACUCAUCAUCAUCAUACUCAGUAAAUCCCACAAAUAGCAAAGCUAAGGUAGGGUCUGAGGAGGGUAGAUGUAGACAGCCUUACCUCUACCCCGUAGGAAUAGAGAGGCUGCUUCCAGUGAGACCUCCGGCUCGAUUGUAGUUUUGUAUCAAGCCUUGGACCUAAGACACAUAACACUCAAAACAAUCGGGAGAGAGACUGAUUGGCGCAUAUACCCCCGUGUCUUUAAGCUAUCAACGUCACCACAUGAUGCAUGAUUAACCAUCUGCCGCUUUUAACGUUAUUUUCACGAAAUUAGUAAGAUAGCGUUAAAGUUAGUACCAUAUCAGAUAGCUUACUAAAUAAUUUAAAUAAAAAUUAGGUGUUUUUAAAAGAAAACCAGCAAACUACCUGCGUGUUGUCGCGUUGUUUUAAAAUUCGUUUUUAAAGAAAUGUAUCAUAGGCUUAACAUCUUGUACUUAGCGUUCUUGAAAAUUAAUAUAAAAACAAAAGCAUUUAUAUAAAUCCACACGUUAUUUAUAACAACCCUUCCACAACGUUCGGUCUAUUACCGACAAGUAAGAAGAGAAAAACACACUCAUAAAAAGUAAAAGUAUAG
Molecule: long non-coding RNA, 1950 nt
Filed under: Helianthus annuus (common sunflower)
Lineage: Eukaryota; Viridiplantae; Streptophyta; Magnoliopsida; Asterales; Asteraceae
Description: hypothetical non coding rna
Source: RNAcentral